RNAcentral lists this ribosomal RNA (490 nucleotides) under uncultured bacterium. Its description in RNAcentral is "partial 16S ribosomal RNA". It matches the Rfam family "Bacterial small subunit ribosomal RNA", at positions 30 to 507 of the family's 1533-position model. The record is from RNAcentral.
AUUGAACGCUGGCGGCAUGCUUUACACAUGCAAGUCGAACGGCAGCGGGGUAGUGCUUGCACUACUGCCGGCGAGUGGCGAACGGGUGAGUAAUAUAUCGGAACGUACCGAGUAAUGGGGGAUAACCAAUCGAAAGAUUGGCUAAUACCGCAUACGUCCUGAGGGAGAAAGCGGGGGAUCGCAAGACCUCGCGUUAUUCGAGCGGCCGAUAACUGAUUAGCUAGUUGGUGGGGUAAAGGCCUACCAAGGCGACGAUCAGUAGCGGGUCUGAGAGGACGAUCCGCCACACUGGGACUGAGACACGGCCCAGACUCCUACGGGAGGCAGCAGUGGGGAAUUUUGGAUAAUGGGGGCAACCCUGAUCCAGCCAUGCCGCGUGUAUGAAGAAGGCCUUCGGGUUGUAAAGUACUUUUGUUAGGGAAGAAAAGGGAAGUGCUAAUACCACUUUUUGCUGACGGUACCUAAAGAAUAAGCACCGGCUAACUACGUG